RNAcentral lists this ribosomal RNA (440 nucleotides) under uncultured bacterium. Its description in RNAcentral is "partial 16S ribosomal RNA". It matches the Rfam family "Bacterial small subunit ribosomal RNA", at positions 338 to 795 of the family's 1533-position model. The record is from RNAcentral.
CCUACGGGGGGCAGCAGUAGGGAAUAUUGCUCAAUGGGGGAAACCCUGAAGCAGCAACGCCGCGUGGAGGAUGAAGGUUUUAGGAUUGUAAACCCCUUUUGUUAGAGAAGAUAAUGACGGUAUCUAACGAAUAAGCACCGGCUAAAUCCGUGCCAGCAGCCGCGGUAAUACGGAGGGCUCAAGCGUUACUCGGAAUCACUGGGCGUAAAGAGCGAGUAGGCGGGAUAGCAAGUCAGAUGUGAAAUCCUAUGGCUUAACCAUAGAACUGCAGUUGAAACUGUUAUUCUAGAGUAGGCGAGAGGUAGGUGGAAUGCUUGGUGUAGGGGUAAAAUGCGUAGAGAUCAAGAGGAAUACUGAUUGCGAAGGCGACCUGCUAGAACAUAACUGACGCUGAUGCGCGAAAGCGUGGGGAGCGAACAGGAUUAGAUACCCGAGUAGUC